Molecule: small nuclear RNA, 107 nt
Organism: Rhinopithecus roxellana (golden snub-nosed monkey)
Lineage: Eukaryota; Metazoa; Chordata; Mammalia; Primates; Cercopithecidae
Source: Ensembl
GCGCUCGCUUUGGCAGCACAUAUACUAAAAUUGGAACGAUACAGAGAAGAUUAGCAAGGCCCCUGUGCAAAGAGGACAUGCAAAUUUGUUAAGCGUUCCAUAUUUUU